GUUGUGCAUCUUUCUCUCUUGCGUUGCACUUUGCCGAGUGGAACCUGCGUCAGAGAAUCGGAUCUGGAGGUUAUAUCAGUUUAUUCGGAUAGAAGAAUCGAGUGCAACACAGCGGGCAGCUAAUAAAUGCCUUGACAUAAUCCUGGUUUUGUGAAUUUACCGCUUUUUAAGUAAUCACAGGGCAAAUAUUAAAUACCCAUAUAAAAAUAGCAUUUUAUUACUUCAGGGAACUUAAAAUUCCCAACCGGUAUAAUAAAAAAUCUUAAGUAAUGGAUAAUAACGGGUAAAUUAUAAGCAGACACUUUAAUAAAUAUGUAUUGGAUUCUAUUACAUGACAUUUCCUAAGAAGAAACCUCAACUAAAAUAUUGACAUUAUAUAUUCUUAGGAAAUUCGUAGUCAAUGUUUGUAAUAACAAGAAAGGAAGCAAACUAGGUUAUUCCGAAGUUUAUUUACUAUUGUAGCUAUUACAAGAAAAAAAAGUAUUGCAUAUGAUUUUUAUGCGUAUGAAUAUGUUUAAAAAACAAUGAAGCUAUUUUGAUUUUCCGAAUCCUUUUUUGAUCGUUUUUAUAUUAAAUCUUGAGCUGUUCCUAGAUCCAGUAAUAUUAUAACUCGUAUUUUUUAACUUUCAAAUUUAGCUUUACAAAUUUGAUACAUAGAUAUUUUGUUUCAUGUGUAGUACAUUAAUAUAAAAAUAAAUUCAAUUUAAAUAA
Long non-coding RNA from Drosophila rhopaloa, 711 nucleotides. RefSeq lists it as uncharacterized. The record is from RefSeq and is a predicted model, not a curated record. NCBI's taxonomy places the organism in Eukaryota, Metazoa, Arthropoda, Insecta, Diptera, Drosophilidae. The transcript is spliced from 2 exons.